This 394-nucleotide ribosomal RNA is filed under the name uncultured eukaryote. RNAcentral's name for it is "SSU rRNA". It matches the Rfam family "Eukaryotic small subunit ribosomal RNA", at positions 587 to 973 of the family's 1831-position model. The record is from RNAcentral.
AGCUCCAAUAGCGUAUAUUAAAGUUGCUGCAGUUAAAAAGCUCGUAGUUGGAUAUCUGGCUUGAUACACCCAGCCCACCACAGUUAUGUGGUUGUGUGCCGGGUUGGAUCUGCCAUCCUUCUAGUUGUUAAAAUAAGACAUCGAAAGGUGAAUUAUUUUAGUACUAGAUCUUUUACUUUGAAAAAAUUAGAGUGUUUAAAGCAGGCUAUAUUUGCUAUGAAUAGAUUAGCAUGGAAUAAUAAUUUAGGACUUCUGUUCUAUUUUGUUGGUUUUCUGAAUAGAAGUAAUGAUAUAUAGGGAUAGUUGGGGGUGCUAGUAUUCAGUGGCCAGAGGUGAAAUUCUUGGAUUCCCUGAAGACUAACUUAUGCGAAAGCAUUCACCAAGGAUGUCUCUU